UACGUAGGGUGCGAGCGUUGUCCGGAAUUAUUGGGCGUAAAGGGCUCGUAGGCGGUCUGUCACGUCGGGAGUGAAAACUCAGGGCUUAACCCCGGGCUUGCAGUGGAUACGGGCAGGCUGGAGGCAGGCAGGGGAGAACGGAAUUCCCGGUGUAGCGGUGAAAUGCGCAGAUAUCAGGAGGAACACCGAUGGCGAAGGCAGGUCUCUGGGCAUUAACUGACGCUGAGGAGCGAAAGCAUGGGGAGCGAACAGG
RNAcentral lists this ribosomal RNA (253 nucleotides) under uncultured bacterium. RNAcentral describes it as "partial 16S ribosomal RNA". It matches the Rfam family "Bacterial small subunit ribosomal RNA", at positions 524 to 776 of the family's 1533-position model. The record is from RNAcentral.